ACGAAUUGAAGAAGAAAAAUAAAAGCCUUAGGAGACCAAAAAGUUCAUGAAAUUAAUAUUUACUGCAAAAAUAGUUCAUUUGCCCAAAAACUCUAAAGAAGAUGAACAAAAUUAAAAAGAAAGAAAGAAUCCUUCCUUUUGACGUGUAUUCAUUCUACUACAUAUAUUUAUAUAUUAACAUACAAACUUUGUUCUACUAUUUCCUCUAUCUUUUCUUCUUUACAUAGUUCUUUUCUUUUGUUUGCUUCUUCAAGUUUCACCGCAUUCAUGCCAGCAAACAAGCAUGGUAACACACCGCCGGAGAAUGUAGAACCUCGCCCUUUGCUCCUUCACCAGCCGGCUGCACCGCCGUCCGAAUGUUUUACACGGAUUUGCCACAUGUCGAUCGCAGAAGCUUGUAUUGCUCAUCUCUUGCUUCAUUCUUUUCCCCUUCACUACAAAACUAUGAUGAUGAUGAUUCGGUUUAUUUAUGGAAUGGAAGAGAAAUAGAGAGAAAAUAAAGGUAAGUUUUUU
Molecule: long non-coding RNA, 513 nt
Filed under: Gossypium raimondii (Peruvian cotton)
Lineage: Eukaryota; Viridiplantae; Streptophyta; Magnoliopsida; Malvales; Malvaceae
Description: long non-coding RNA (GRAI_LNC007280)
Source: RNAcentral